Molecule: RNA transcript, 1048 nt
Organism: Drosophila hydei
Lineage: Eukaryota; Metazoa; Arthropoda; Insecta; Diptera; Drosophilidae
Exons: 3
Source: RefSeq, a predicted model, not a curated record
GCAUCAGUUUCGACAUUUGAAUUUAAGCCAAGCUGCGAAUAUGGCCGUCAGCUUCGUUGUGCUCUACAACUGUCUGGUGCGAGGCCUCAUUGUGCAGCCCGCGGGAUCACUAUACGAACAGAGACCAAGUCUCGAGCCGGAACUAGCUGCACUAGAGCCACCCGCAUCUAGUUCAUCGAUACAAUUAUUCUCCUGUCUAUAUGGAGUUCGUGAAAUACCAGGAGAUUCAAGCCCAGUUGCUGAUAUCAAUGCUGAUCGUCGAAUUUCUUUUGCUUUUGCGGAUGACUUCAAUCAAAUCAAUAAUCAACUACCCACAGACUAUCAAAGCACCUAUGAAGUGCCAAAUUCUCCAGCGGACACGGAAAUUCUAUCUGUCUAUCCAGCCAGCACUGCGGGGACACUUACUCAACGCCUGCCCCCCAUACAUACGACCAAGCGCAACUGCCACAUUAUCAAAUGCCCCAAGUUUUCGCAUGCAACAUAUGGCAGCGAUGGGGGCAGAUGCUACGAGUUCGCCAAUCAGUGCUUCAUGGCUGUCGCCAGCUGCAAGCGCCACAAUAACCGACUGCCACGCCUCAAGGAAGUGAGCAAGAAGCAUUGUGAUAAGCUCAUAAGAGAAAUUACUGUCUAAGAUUACCAUGAAGACUUUAUAAGUAGUAAUAAUUAGUUGAAUACAAAUUAUUUAAAUGAUCAUAGACAGGUAAAAAAAUCGAACAAUAUACACAAGAUGGAAACACUGAAUAGAAUCGAAGCUGGAUAGCUUGCUGGAAGCGCGCCGUGAUAGUGAUGAUUCCGAAGCCUGCUACUGGUGCGCCGUGAGGUCAUUCCAAAUCAUCAAUUCGGCUCUCACAGAGUUGUGCAUGAUAUGCUGAGCGCGUGAAGGCUGAAGAAAUUAGAUCCUCUAGACCGUCGUGGAAUUAGUUAAACUUGAAUAGAAAAGAAUUUAUAGUAAUUGAGUCUAAAAUGUAAGAUGUAUAUACUGAUAUGCGUGCCAGUUGAGGCUUAUAGCUAAAUGCGCUUUAGAGUCUGAGACAGUUAGCUGCAACAA